Molecule: ribosomal RNA, 48 nt
Filed under: Aphanocalyx heitzii
Lineage: Eukaryota; Viridiplantae; Streptophyta; Magnoliopsida; Fabales; Fabaceae
Description: 5.8S ribosomal RNA
Source: RNAcentral
GUCGGAGCCAUUAGGCUAAGGGCACAUCUGGUUGGGUGUCAUGCAAUG